Molecule: ribosomal RNA, 202 nt
Filed under: Bacillus pumilus
Lineage: Bacteria; Bacillati; Bacillota; Bacilli; Caryophanales; Bacillaceae
Description: partial 16S ribosomal RNA
Rfam family: Bacterial small subunit ribosomal RNA
Source: RNAcentral
CCUACUCCUACGGGAGGCAGCAGUAGGGAAUCUUCCGCAAUGGACGAAAGUCUGACGGAGCAACGCCGCGUGAGUAAUGAAGGUUUUCGGAUCGUAAAGCUCUGUUGUUAGGGAAGAACAAGUGCGAGAGUAACUGCUCGCACCUUGACGGUACCUAACCAGAAAGCCACGGCUAACUACGUGCCAGCAGCCGCGGUAAUAA